This is a long non-coding RNA of Stegostoma tigrinum, 2477 nucleotides long. RefSeq lists it as uncharacterized. The transcript is spliced from 3 exons. Lineage: Eukaryota; Metazoa; Chordata; Chondrichthyes; Orectolobiformes; Stegostomatidae. The record is from RefSeq and is a predicted model, not a curated record.
GCAGCCAGGCGGGGAGGGAGCUCCGUUCUCUGCAAAUUGAAGGCACCCAGACAGAUGUACAGAGCCUGGGUAUGCAGCUCCAUCCAUAAAGACACUACUUACUGGAGCAGAAAGGAAGAGAGCCAGGGACAAUAGCAAUAGCUGUUAACUGCUCCUUACUGAACAUCCAGAAAGAAUUUUAGCCAGGAUUUUGGCUCGUUUGCCAAUGCAAUUACCAUCUCCCCAGACGUGACAAAACUUGGGGCUCAUUGGAUUAUUGGAAUCUAAAAGGAUAGCCAGAUCUGUGGACUUUUUUCAAGAUGAUGGAUUAUUUUGACCUUUCUUUUCCGUCCUUUCACCACCGCCCCCCCUCCCCAGCCAGCAAACUUGGAAGUUGCCUUGCACUGUUGAGAACACGUUGAUGCGGUAUUGAGUUUGGAUGAUGGGAAUCACUGACUCAAAGCACUUGCACAAGGAGUAGUGGCCCCGCUGAUGGAAAAUUAUUGCGGGACUCUUCUGGGAUUAUUGGAGUUGGACCAUUUUUCAUUGGGAGAUGCUUGGGGUGUAUACUGUUGUGUCAGGAACGUGGAAACAUCAUGGUUCGAAACAUCAAGCGUCGAGAUCCGCAUUGUAGUUUCUAUAUGGAGUUAUACGGAUGGCUCUUAGGAAAUUAUUACCCUCCUUUCCCAAUAAAAACCCCUGGAAUAUGUUGUACGCUUUUGGAAUGUCCUUGCCAAUGGAUUAACGUCGCCAUUGAGUGGGUUGGAUGGAACUCCGAGGAUAUUUUAUCCAGAUGAUGUAUUGAAGACCCUGGGAUGUAUUAGAGGAGACUAUGUGGAUUUAAAUCUCAGUGGGAUAACGUGGAUUGUUGCUAUGUUUUGGUUUGGAGUUGCUUAAGAGGUGUAUUUCUGCAUGACCUCAAAGUGACUGAAUACAUCAGAUGAUAUUGCUAUUCCAAAUACUACCACCCACUACCUGAAGAUCAAAAGACGGCUUAUUCCUAACCUCACUAUUGGAACUACAAGCUGCCAAACAUGACAUCGUGAGCAACAUUUGCUCAGCACUGAAGGCUAAAACUCAACAUUCCCUCUGACAAAUCUAAACAGGACACAAUGACAAUAUCAAAAAUCAGCGCAUCAUUUCAACACCUCUUCAUUUUGGUCUACAUCUGUGCUUAAUUUGGCAUUGGACACCUUUUCUAAUAUAAUUCGGAAAAUAAACUGCAAGGAAGGAAGAUUGCUGAAGAAAUGAGAGAAAAUACCACAUGAAAAAAUGACUGUUGUUGAUAGAUUUCAAUGAGGGACCUUUUGAAUGGAUUUCCACUGUUAACAAUUUGACAGUUAUCUAAUUCGUCUAAUCCUGAGAUUGCCAGAUGAAAAUUUCUGCUUGAACAGUAUUCAUUUGUGUCUGAAGAAUUUUAUUGUCACGAAUAGGUAAUAUUAAUGAGCAUUGGGUUGUAAAUGCUUCAUGGAUGUGGAAUCUACAGUUUGAACUUGGUAUCUUUGAGAUAUUUUAUUGUCCUUUUAAAUGUAGCGAAUAUUAGGAUUUAGUGAUUGUUUUAAAAUUUUUACACUACAAAUGAAGUGAACCAACUGGCUCUAUAUGUUCGUUUGUGUUUUCUCAUAAAACAAACUUUCAUCUAUGUAUGAAUUGUGUUCAGUUUUAUCUAUUUAUUGAGUGUAUGUCCAAAUAAUUAUGAUUACGCUAUACUCUGUCUUCCCUUUUAAAUCAUUGUCCUUUUGAAAUGUUUGAACUCCUUAAUUCUAAAAUGACCAUCAGAAAGGACUCCUACAGAAAAUUACUUAUUGACAUUCAUAUCUUUACUAAGGUUAAUUGGCUCGGAGCAGUUUAGACAAAGUUACUUUGUGAUGUGCAAUAGCAGCACUUCCAACAUAGAAAAAAAAGCCUGUGCAUGAUUUCAGUAGAAUGCUGGGUUCAAGAUGUAUGGUAUCUGUCAGUAAUGUGUUCUGUGUUAUCUCUAUGUUACCACACAAAAGGAAAUUAGUGUUAUACAGCAUCUUAUUAAAGGUUUUAAACAUGCCAGGAAUAGAAAGCUGAAUUCAGCAAAAUAUAAGCUGGCUCAGUGCUAUAACUUGCUGCCAAUACAUUUUAUUUAAAAUAGAGGCUGGGGGCUACAUGUGAUUUCAUACUGAUAAUGAUAGAUAAAGAUUUAUUGCCCUCUCAAUUCAUAUGUUCUUCCUUUCCAGCUAUGCCUCUGACAUGACCAACCAAGUAAUACAUGUAAAAUGAAGUUUUAGUCACUCGAGAGAACUGACGUUUUGAAAAAGAAAUCUACUGACAAUCAACACAACCUUAAAAUAGCUGCUCCUAUUUGUUUUGAGUGACUACAGAGGCAAUGUUUCAUCUUUUAUUUAAAACAUGGAUUCUAGUAAGAUAAUUUGAUGUGUAACUUUCAAUUUCAUUUUGUAAUUAUGAUUUUACUUUGCAAUUGUAAAGUGCAUGUAUGACCUUGCAUAAUAAAUAUUUUACAAAGAAAA